AGUGAACGCUGGCGGUAGGCCUAACACAUGCAAGUCGAACGGCAGCACAGUAAGAGCUUGCUCUUACGGGUGGCGAGUGGCGGACGGGUGAGGAAUACAUCGGAAUCUACUUUUUCGUGGGGGAUAACGUAGGGAAACUUACGCUAAUACCGCAUACGACCUACGGGUGAAAGCAGGGGAUCUUCGGACCUUGCGCGAUUGAAUGAGCCGAUGUCGGAUUAGCUAGUUGGCGGGGUAAAGGCCCACCAAGGCGACGAUCCGUAGCUGGUCUGAGAGGAUGAUCAGCCACACUGGAACUGAGACACGGUCCAGACUCCUACGGGAGGCAGCAGUGGGGAAUAUUGGGCAAUGGGCGCAAGCCUGAUCCAGCCAUACCGCGUGGGUGAAGAAGGCCUUCGGGUUGUAAAGCCCUUUUGUUGGGAAAGAAAAGCAGCAGGUUAAUACCCCGCUGUUCUGACGGUACCCAAAGAAUAAGCACCGGCUAACUUCGCG
This 492-nucleotide ribosomal RNA is filed under the name uncultured bacterium. Its description in RNAcentral is "partial 16S ribosomal RNA". It matches the Rfam family "Bacterial small subunit ribosomal RNA", at positions 29 to 507 of the family's 1533-position model. The record is from RNAcentral.